RNAcentral lists this ribosomal RNA (221 nucleotides) under uncultured bacterium. RNAcentral describes it as "partial 16S ribosomal RNA". The record is from RNAcentral.
UCCUCUAAGACCAGCUACCCGUCUUCGCCUUGGUAGGCCGUUACCCUACCAACUAGCUGAUAGGACAUGAGCUCCUCCUCAAAGGACCGCCCCCAAAAGAGAGCUGCCUUUAACCCCUAGAGUCUCCUCUUGUGGUCUUAUCCGGUAUUAGCCCAACUUUCGCUGGGUUAUUCCCGCCUCAAGGGUAGAUUACUCAUGUAUUACGCACCCGUGGCGCACGA